Molecule: ribosomal RNA, 403 nt
Filed under: bacterium
Lineage: Bacteria
Description: partial 16S ribosomal RNA
Rfam family: Bacterial small subunit ribosomal RNA
Source: RNAcentral
UGGGGAAUAUUGCACAAUGGGGGAAACCCUGAUGCAGCGACGCCGCGUGAACGAAGAAGGUAUUCGUAUCGUAAAGUUCUGUCCUAUGGGAAGAUAAUGACAGUACCAUAGAAGAAAGCUCCGGCUAAAUACGUGCCAGCAGCCGCGGUAAUACGUAUGGAGCGAGCGUUGUCCGGAAUUAUUGGGCGUAAAGGGUACGCAGGCGGUUUAAUAAGUCGAAUGUUAAAGAUCGGGGCUCAACCCCGCAAAGCAUUGGAAACUGAUAAACUUGAGUAGUGGAGAGGAAAGUGGAAUUCCUAGUGUAGUGGUGAAAUAUGUAGAUAUUAGGAGGAAUACCAGUAGCGAAGGCGACUUUCUGGACACAAACUGACGCUGAGGUACGAAAGCGUGGGGAGCAAACAGG